UUUGGCCUACGGGGCGCAGCAGUGGGGGAUAUUGCACAAUGGGGGAAACCCUGAUGCAGCAACGCCGCGUGAGUGAAGAAGGUCUUCGGAUUGUAAAGCUCUGUUCUUGGUGAAGAUAAUGACGGUAGCCAAGGAGAAAGCUCCGGCUAACUACGUGCCAGCAGCCGUGGCAAUACGUAGGUGGCGAGCGUUAUCCGGAAUGAUUGGGCGUAAAGGGUGCGUAGGCGGCCUGCUAAGUCUGGAGUGAAAGGUACCGGCUCAACCGGUACAGGCUCUGGAAACUGGCGGGCU
RNAcentral lists this ribosomal RNA (291 nucleotides) under uncultured bacterium. RNAcentral describes it as "partial 16S ribosomal RNA". It matches the Rfam family "Bacterial small subunit ribosomal RNA", at positions 333 to 642 of the family's 1533-position model. The record is from RNAcentral.